Molecule: ribosomal RNA, 466 nt
Filed under: Streptococcus sp. oral taxon 066
Lineage: Bacteria; Bacillati; Bacillota; Bacilli; Lactobacillales; Streptococcaceae
Description: bacterial SSU rRNA
Rfam family: Bacterial small subunit ribosomal RNA
Source: RNAcentral
GAUGAACGCUGGCGGCGUGCCUAAUACAUGCAAGUAGAACGCUGAAGCUUGGUGCUUGCACCGAGCGGAUGAGUUGCGAACGGGUGAGUAACGCGUAGGUAACCUGCCUGGUAGCGGGGGAUAACUAUUGGAAACGAUAGCUAAUACCGCAUAACAGUCGACAUUGCAUGAUGUUGAUUUAAAAGGGGCAAAUGCUCCACUACCAGAUGGACCUGCGUUGUAUUAGCUAGUUGGUGAGGUAACGGCUCACCAAGGCGACGAUACAUAGCCGACCUGAGAGGGUGAUCGGCCACACUGGGACUGAGACACGGCCCAGACUCCUACGGGAGGCAGCAGUAGGGAAUCUUCGGCAAUGGACGGAAGUCUGACCGAGCAACGCCGCGUGAGUGAAGAAGGUUUUCGGAUCGUAAAAGCUCUGUUGUAAAGAGAAAGAAACGAAGUGUGAGAAGUGGAAAAGUUCCACCAC